Molecule: long non-coding RNA, 2937 nt
Organism: Mauremys mutica (yellowpond turtle)
Lineage: Eukaryota; Metazoa; Chordata; Testudines; Geoemydidae
Exons: 3
Source: RefSeq, a predicted model, not a curated record
UCUUUUACAUAUUUACAAGGCUACUGUCAAUUCAUGCUUUGUUCAUUGAUUCAUGUUUUUGCUCAGAACAGACUAACAUGGACUAUGUGGAAGUGGAAAAAGAAGCGCAGACAUCUUAGUCUUCUAGGAAGAGCAAGAGUCAGGCUAACGCUGACAGCUAAUAACACAGGACUUCCAGGCAGGACCUGGGAGAGUGGAAAAGAACCGUAAGAGAGUUUGGUGCCAUGACUCGGAUGGCUAACGCCCAGCAACAAACGACUGCAGACUGUUCCCCUGAGAACCUCAUAGUGCCAUAAUAGAGCUGAUGUAUUUUCAAAUUGGAUUGAGGCCUUCCCUUGCAGAAGGUCAGAUGCCAAGACUGAUGUGAAAUUGUUGCUUAAGGAUUUUGUACCACGAUUUGGCAUACCUGUGAGUAUCAACAGUGACUGUGGAACUCAUUUUACUGGACAGAUAGUAAAAGAAUUAUGUGCAGCUCUGCAGAAUCAACAUGAUCUCCAUUGCCCCCACCAUCUGCAGGGACAGUGAAACGUCAGAGUGGGAUUUUGAAAAUUAAACUGGCCAAGAUUUGUGCUGAGAUGAACUUAAAGUGGCCAAAUGCCGUCCCAUUAGCAUUGAUGAAUAUGAGAGCCACUCCCAACCGAAAGACUGGACUUAGCCCACAUGAGAUCCUGACAGGGUGCCCAAUGUGACUACAGGCUGCUCCCCCACUGACCUUUGCCCAGAUGGACAUCCAUUUAAUGGAUGACACAGUGCUUAAUUAUCGUCAGGAACUAAUGAAAUGUAUCAGGUCUUUUAUACACAGGUGAAAGAAGCACUACCCAAGGAUCCUGAGCAACCCUGCCACUCGCUGGAACCAGGAGACUGAGUCUACAUAAAGGUCCAUCAGCAAAAGACUGCUCUGGCCCCACCCUGGAAAGGCCCUUACCAAAUCCUGUUAACUACCAACGUUGCUGUGAAGUGCCAAGGACUGACUGCCUGGACCCAUCCUUCUCAUUGCAAAAAGGCCCCUCCACCUCAAGAUGACCCUCUGACUGCUGAUCAGCCUGUCCCUCCUUUUGUUACUACUUUUCCUCCUUCUGGACAGCAGGAGAAAAGGACAAGGUGAAGUGCUGGUAACCUCUCCCUUGUCCACUAACAGAACCACCAUACAUUUACCAUCUGCUGGAGGAACCCAGUUAUUACAGGGUGACAUGCUGGUAACCUCUCCCCUGUAUGAUGCUGAACCAUGACUGUUCCAGGAGAGAAGGUAUGUUCGCUCCACUGAAAUUGUCAAAGUCCAGGGAUGCUUGACUACAAAAGACAUUAAAAAUUGGCCCUGGUGAAAGAGACGGAGUAUGGUAACAUGGCAGGGAGGAACCGCGCUUGGGACAGUGGUAUUGAGUGGUGGUUUGGGUUUAAUCUGGGGCCUGGGAAAUGUGCUUAUAGACAAGUACCAUCAGAAUGUAGUGCCCUCCCUAACUGGUGGUCAGAUGAUGGAAACCAAAGACGCCUUGCUGCCACGAAUAUUACCCCCACCAUCCUCUCCACCUUUGCCACCAUCCCCUGUAACACAUUCUAAUACAGAUAAUAUCAUAUACUCUAAUGAAACCCAAUGGCCAAGGGCUUUACACCUUAGUGAUCCCUAUGGGAUGGUGCCAAUAGUUCAGCAGCAAUUUAGAACACUUACAAAGGCCAACAAUAUGAUGAGAACUUAAGGCAACUGGAAAAGGUCGCUGGUCUUAUUAUUGGAGCACAGUUAACCCAGGUACAGGCUGGGGUUGGUGAAUUACAUGUUUUUGCCCUUAGCUCAAUGACCCAGAAGCUAUUGACAGAGAUGGUAUUGAAUAUCAGAGGCAUGAAAGAAAUUGCAGUGGGAUCUGGUUUGCUCAGAAAUUCAGGAUCUCCUGAAUGACCAGCUGAUGGUCAUUCAGAGUGAUCUCAAGCAUCAAGCGUAGCCUACUGCCCUUACAAUGCUUCACAAAUGCCAUCUGAUCUGUGGCCAUGGAGACAUACUUGGAGAUUUUCUGGGUGGAAGUGCAGAUGCUCACAGUGCUCUUUCCAAGCAUACGGACAAGUUGGAAGUGUGUGGGCUUCCACAUACCAAAAUCCCGCCGGGUCCGUGGGGAGAAUGCAUGUGGGAUUGGAUAAUUCACGGAAACAUUUGGGAAAUUAGACUACCUGAUAUGCCUAAUCAAUUUUUAGUCAGUGCUCCCGGAAUAACACCCGACAUUUGGAUAGGGAUAGGGAGUUAAUGGACACUCUGGCCGUUAGAAAACACUCCCUCCCCCAACUUCAAUAAACAGCAGGUGUCACUGUUGAUGACAACAUCUGUUGGUAAGGUAUGGGACAAGGAACUACCCUGACAGGACACCUGCUUUUCCAAGCUAAUGACAGCUGUGUGUGUGUUAAGGCCACCACUUUACGAGAUAUACAUGUUAAUCUCACCACUGCUGCAGGCAAUUAUAUUUAUUGGCCUGCGGAUAGAAUUUUAUAAUCAGUCCUUAGGUUUCAUAUACCCUUUAAUUGAAUUACUUUAGUAUCUGACCAGUUUCAAAAUUUGCUUUUAGGGCUACCAGAGGUUCAGAGAAUGUCUGAAUUACAAGGGCAAAUUCAUAUGCUUCAAAAUAUAUAUCAACUUGAAAAGUGCCUUUCAUACAGCUUAUAGAGUGUUUACUUGAUUUAGUGUUUUGUGACUAAAAUUGUACAACCACCCUAUCAUAUUAUUACCAUGGGAAUGUUAAUAGUUUUUAUUGCUGUUUAGUUUAGGAUUGUUACUGAUGUUGUAUUAUUACAUCUUUGACUAACACCUUCUAUGUUCAUAUUAACCAUGCAUUGUUAUUGCAUCCCAUGAAACCCAUAAGGUUGAACCAUUUGAUCUAGAAUCAGAAAUACAAGGUUUGAUGAACUUGAAGGUUUAAGAUUGAUAGUUGUGCUAGAAGCACAAAAGGGGGGAGGGUG